AAUCAACGCUGGCGGCGUGCCUAACACAUGCAAGUCGAACGAGAAAGUGGUAGCAAUACCAUGAGUAAAGUGGCGCACGGGUGAGUAACACGUGAUUAACCUACCUUUGAGUGGGGGAUAACCUCGGGAAACCGAGGCUAAUACCGCAUAACAUCGCAAGAUCAAAGCAGCAAUGCGCUUAAAGAGGGGGUCGCGGCUGAUUAGCUAGUUGGCGGGGUAAUGGCCCACCAAGGCGAAGAUCGGUAUCCGGCCUGAGAGGGCGCACGGACACACUGGAACUGAAACACGGUCCAGACUCCUACGGGAGGCAGCAGUGGGGAAUUUUGCGCAAUGGGGGAAACCCUGACGCAGCAACGCCGCGUGGAGGAUGAAGCCCCUUGGGGCGUAAACUCCUUUCGACCAAGACGAUAAUGACGGUACUGGUGGAAGAAGCACCGGCUAACUCUGUGCCAGCAGCCGCGGUAAUACAGAGGGUGCGAGCGUUGUUCGGAAUUAUUGGGCGUAAAGGGCGCGUAGGCGGUGCCACAAGUCACCUGUGAAAUCCCCGGGCUUAACCCGGGGCCUGCAGGCGAAACUGUGGUGCUGGAGUAUGGGAGAGGUGCGUGGAAUUCCCGGUGUAGCGGUGAAAUGCGUAGAUAUCGGAAGGAACACCUGUGGCGAAAGCGGCGCACUGGACCAUAACUGACGCUGAGGCGCGAAAGCUAGGGGAGCAAACAGGAUUAGAUACCCUGGUAGUCCUAGCCCUAAACGAUGAUUGCUUGGUGUAGCAGGUACCCAAUCCUGC
Molecule: ribosomal RNA, 784 nt
Filed under: uncultured bacterium
Lineage: Bacteria
Description: bacterial SSU rRNA
Rfam family: Bacterial small subunit ribosomal RNA
Source: RNAcentral